GUGUUUCAGCAGCACACAUACUAAAAUUUUGAAAACUACAGAGAUUAGCAUGUGCAAGGAUGACAAAUUUGUGAAAUGUUUCAUAUUUUA
Mandrillus leucophaeus (drill) is the source of this 90-nucleotide small nuclear RNA. NCBI's taxonomy places the organism in Eukaryota, Metazoa, Chordata, Mammalia, Primates, Cercopithecidae. The record is from Ensembl.